RNAcentral lists this ribosomal RNA (433 nucleotides) under uncultured bacterium. RNAcentral's name for it is "partial 16S ribosomal RNA". It matches the Rfam family "Bacterial small subunit ribosomal RNA", at positions 29 to 507 of the family's 1533-position model. The record is from RNAcentral.
AACGAACGCUGGCGGCAGGCCUAACACAUGCAAGUCGAGCGAGGACUUCGGUUCUAGCGGCGGACGGUUGAGUAACGCGUGGGAAUGUGCCCUUCUCUACGGAAUAGCCCUGUGAAACUGGGAGUAAUACCGUAUACGCCCUUUUGUGGAAAGAUUUAUCGGAGCAGGAUCAGCCCGCGUUGGAUUAGGUAGUUGGUGGGGUAAUGGCCUACUAAGCCGACGAUCCAUAGCUGGUUUGAGAGGAGGAUCAGCCACACUGGGACUGAGACACGGCCCAGACUCCUACGGGAGGAAGCAGUGGGGACUCUUAGACAAUGGGGGCAACCCUGCUCGAGCCACGCCGGGUGAGUGAUGAAGGCCUUAGGGUUGUAAAGCUCUGUCAGCUGGGAAGAUAAUGACGGUACCAGCAGAAGAAGCCCCGGCUAACUCCGUG